Molecule: microRNA precursor, 192 nt
Filed under: Oryza brachyantha (malo sina)
Lineage: Eukaryota; Viridiplantae; Streptophyta; Magnoliopsida; Poales; Poaceae
Description: MIR812 microRNA precursor family
Rfam family: MIR812 microRNA precursor family
Source: Rfam by way of RNAcentral
AAUAAGAUCAUUUUUUAGUUUUUUGAUACAAUAUUUUGACUCUUCGUCUUAUUAAAUUUCUUUUACAAUUAAUAUUUUUAUUCUUACUAGAUGAUAAAACAUGAAUAGUACUUUAUACGUGACUAAUUUUUUUAAGUUUUUAUACAAAUUUUUUAAAUAAGACGAAUUGUCAAACGUUGGAUACGGAAAAAC